RNAcentral lists this unclassified non-coding RNA (20 nucleotides) under Mus musculus (house mouse). Its description in RNAcentral is "oocyte_clustered_small_RNA9590". The record is from RNAcentral. Lineage: Eukaryota; Metazoa; Chordata; Mammalia; Rodentia; Muridae.
UCUCAGCCAUGGCCACCUCA